Molecule: ribosomal RNA, 897 nt
Filed under: Macaca fascicularis (crab-eating macaque)
Lineage: Eukaryota; Metazoa; Chordata; Mammalia; Primates; Cercopithecidae
Description: partial 16S ribosomal RNA
Rfam family: Bacterial large subunit ribosomal RNA (bases 147-897)
Source: RNAcentral
GCCAAUGCUAGCCCUAAGCAUAACCAACACUAAUACCAAACUAACAUACACUAAACCAUUCACCUACACAAAGUAUAGGCGAUAGAAAUUUUAAUCUGGCGCUAUAGACAUAGUACCGUAAGGGAAAGAUAGAAAACCACCCAAGCACAAAACAGCAAAGACUAACUCCUGUACCUUUCGCAUAAUGAAUUAGCUAGAAACAAUUUUACGAAGAGGACUACAAGCCAAAUCCCCCGAAACCAGACGAGCUACCCAAAAACAGCUAAAAGAGCGCACCCGCCUAUGUGGCAAAAUAGUGGGAAGAUUUCUGGGUAGAGGUGACAAGCCUACCGAGCCUGGUGAUAGCUGGUUAUCCAAGACAGAAUCUUAGUUCAACCUUAAGCUUACCUAUAGAACUACCUAAUCCCCCUGUAAGCUUAACUGCUAGUCUAAAGAGGGACAGCUCUUUAGACACUAGGAAAAAACCUUACGGAGAGAGUAAAACCCUCAAUCACCAUAGUUGGCUUAAAAGCAGCCAUCAAUUAAGAAAGCGUUCAAGCUCAACACUAACCACCACAAAAAUACCAAACACAUAACUGAACUCCUCACACCACAUUGGAUUAAUCUAUCACCAUAUAGAAGCAACAAUGCUAGUAUAAGUAACAUGAAUAUUUUCUCCACUGCAUAAGCCUAAAUCGGACCGAAAGCCUCACCGAUAUUUAACAGCCAGGCAUAACAAGCACAAACAAGCCCAUGCCACCUUCACUGUUAACCCAACACAGGCAUGCCCCAAGGAAAGGUUAAAAAAAGUAAAAGGAACUCGGCAAACCCAAACCCCGCCUGUUUACCAAAAACAUCACCUCUAGCAUUACUAGUAUUAGAGGCACUGCCUGCCCGGUGACACACGUUUAACGGCCG